Molecule: ribosomal RNA, 429 nt
Filed under: Bacteroidota bacterium
Lineage: Bacteria; Pseudomonadati; Bacteroidota
Description: Bacteroidetes bacterium partial 16S ribosomal RNA
Rfam family: Bacterial small subunit ribosomal RNA
Source: RNAcentral
UAGGGAAUCUUCCGCAAUGGACGCAAGUCUGACGGAGCAACGCCGCGUGAGUGAAGAAGGAUUUCGGUUCGUAAAACUCUGUUGUUAGAGAAGAACAGCGCAUAGAGUAACUGUUAUGCGUGUGACGGUAUCUAACCAGAAAGCCACGGCUAACUACGUGCCAGCAGCCGCGGUAAUACGUAGGUGGCAAGCGUUGUCCGGAUUUAUUGGGCGUAAAGCGAGCGCAGGCGGUCAAUUAAGUCUGAUGUGAAAGCCCCCGGCUCAACCGGGGAGGGUCAUUGGAAACGGGUUGACUUGAGGGCAGAAGAGGAGAGUGGAAUUCCAUGUGUAGCGGUGAAAUGCGUAGAUAUAUGGAGGAACACCAGUGGCGAAGGCGACUCUCUGGUCUGUAACUGACGCUGAGGCUCGAAAGCGUGGGUAGCAAACAGG